GAUGAACGCUGGCGGCGUGCCUAAUACAUGCAAGUCGAGCGAACAGACGAGGAGCGUGCUUCUCUUACGUUAGCGGCGGACGGGUGAGGAACAGGUGGAUAACCGACAGAGAAGGCUAGGAUAAGUUCGGGAAACCGGAGCUAGUACAGGAUAAUAGAUUGAACGGCAUGGUUCAAUAGUGAAAGACGGAUUUGAUGUCACUUAUAGAUGGAUCCGCGCCGCAUUAGCUAGUUGGUAAGGUAACGGCUUACCAAGGCAACGAUGCGUAGCCGACCUGAGAGGGUGAUCAGUCACACUGGAACUGAGACACGGUCCAGACUCCUACGGGAGGCAGCAGUAGGGAAUCUUCCGCAAUGGGCGAAAGCCUGAUGGAGCCAUGCCGCGUGAGUGAUGAAGGUCUUCGGAUCGUAAAACUCUGUUAUUAGGGAAGAACAAAUGUGUAAGUAAAUAUUCCCGUCUUGACGUUACCUACACAGAAAGCACCGGCUAACUACGUG
Molecule: ribosomal RNA, 497 nt
Filed under: uncultured bacterium
Lineage: Bacteria
Description: partial 16S ribosomal RNA
Rfam family: Bacterial small subunit ribosomal RNA
Source: RNAcentral